CAUAAGCCAGCUUGACUGCGAGCGUGACGGCGCGAGCAGGUGCGAAAGCAGGUCAUAGUGAUCCGGUGGUUCUGAAUGGAAGGGCCAUCGCUCAACGGAUAAAAGGUACUCCGGGGAUAACAGGCUGAUACCGCCCAAGAGUUCAUAUCGACGGCGGUGUUUGGCACCUCGAUGUCGGCUCAUCACAUCCUGGGGCUGAAGUAGGUCCCAAGGGUAUGGCUGUUCGCCAUUUAAAGUGGUACGCGAGCUGGGUUUAGAACGUCGUGAGACAGUUCGGUCCCUAUCUGCCGUGGGCGCUGGAAGAUUGAGGGGGGCUGCUCCUAGUACGAGAGGACCGGAGUGGACGCAUCACUGGUGUUCGGGUUGUCAUGCCAAUGGCACUGCCCGGUAGCUACAUGCGGAAGAGAUAAGUGCUGAAAGCAUCUAAGCACGAAACUUGCCCCGAGAUGAAUCUUCCCUGAGCCUUUAAGGCUCCUGAAGGAACGUUGAAGACGACGACGUUGAUAGGCCGGGUGUGUAAGCGCAGCGAUGCGUUGAGCUAACCGGUACUAAUGAACCGUGAGGCUUAACCUUACAACGCCGAA
RNAcentral lists this ribosomal RNA (584 nucleotides) under Salmonella enterica. Its description in RNAcentral is "partial 23S ribosomal RNA". It matches the Rfam family "Bacterial large subunit ribosomal RNA", at positions 2358 to 2925 of the family's 2925-position model. The record is from RNAcentral. Lineage: Bacteria; Pseudomonadati; Pseudomonadota; Gammaproteobacteria; Enterobacterales; Enterobacteriaceae.